UACGUAGGUGGCAAGCGUUGUCCGGAAUUAUUGGGCGUAAAGCGCGCGCAGGCGGUCCUUUAAGUCUGAUGUGAAAUCUCGCGGCUCAACCGCGAGCGGCCAUUGGAAACUGGGGGACUUGAGUGCAGAAGAGGAAAGCGGAAUUCCACGUGUAGCGGUGAAAUGCGUAGAGAUGUGGAGGAACACCGGUGGCGAAGGCGGCAUCCUGGACCGGCAUUGACGCUGAGGCGCGAAAGCCAGGGGAGCAAACGGG
Molecule: ribosomal RNA, 253 nt
Filed under: uncultured bacterium
Lineage: Bacteria
Description: partial 16S ribosomal RNA
Rfam family: Bacterial small subunit ribosomal RNA
Source: RNAcentral